Molecule: long non-coding RNA, 5290 nt
Filed under: Brassica napus (rape)
Lineage: Eukaryota; Viridiplantae; Streptophyta; Magnoliopsida; Brassicales; Brassicaceae
Description: long non-coding RNA (BNAP_LNC012697)
Source: RNAcentral
UCACUAGCACCACUCCAUCUCCGCACAGAAGAUGAUAAAUCAGAAGAGAGCCUUUUCAGCUCAGUGGAUUUCACCACAGCUGUUUUCCCUCCGGAGCUUUCUUUCUGCUUGUUUUCAAAUAGGUUGAUCCUCUCCUGCACGCUGAGCCGUCUCGUGAGCUGCUUAGUCUGGCUUGCUAAUGGCUCAUUUUGCACAGGGAUUUUUUCCUCUUCUUCAUCCUUUUCAUCAUGACUACUUUGUGGCAUCACCUUUGCUUCUUGCAUACCAGUUUGAUGUUCUCUAUGUUGUUGGGUUCUAUUAGUUGGUAGGUUUCUGGAUGGGUCUUCACUGGGAUCAUCAAUUGACAUAUCAGAUUCCCAAGAUGAACGUAUAGCUUCUUCUUCCUGAUUGAACCUCCAAGAGCUCAUAAGCUCUGGCCUUCUCUGGAAAAGUGCGAUAAACUUGGCGCAUGCUUCACUGCAAUAAGUAUAGCAGACCAAGCAUGAUCAGAGUACUCAUAACAGGUAGCUAACUAAGUUGAAAGCCAAAAUAUAUUCUAAAAAGUGAGAUAAUUCUCCAGGGUUAAGAAAUUGAAUUCUUUUAAUACAGUUAGGCAUUCUAGUCCUUUAUAAUCAUGUUCAUCCACCUACCAGUAGGUCUCAAGUGUCUAUCAGACCAAACCUACCUAAAUUAGAGCAUGAUGGGUUUCUGUUUAUGGAAAAGCGCAUGCAUCAAGGCCUAAACAUUUAAACGUAAGACAUAUAGGAGACUAUAUAAACAUGUGGUUAUGGUGAUCAUAGGCUAAACAGGUGUUAUCACAAAGUCCAAAAUUCAAAAGAGGGAUCAGUGGCAGAGGGUAAUAAACCAAGAAACCUUGCUUGAAUGGUCUACAUAGCAAGCAUAAGCAAAAACAAAAAAGUAAAAAAAUGUAAAAUUUGAUAGAUACAACUAUGAAAAGCUACAACUUAAAUUACAGCCCCAAUCUUUUUGGUUUAAGCUCAGAUAAAUUAGACAAGGUGACGUAAUUGUUGUCUAGUCUUCUUGCGUGUAAAAGGGGCACACACAUAGGGCAAAGCAACAGGAAAGACCUGGCAAAUAAUAUUAGAGGAGAUAAAGGUAAAGGAUAUCUUAGGACUUACUUCAAGCGAUUGGCCCCAAAUCGAUCAGCAAAUUGACUAAGUUCGGGGACAGUGACUGGGUUGAAACCAGCAGCUGAUGCACGAUUACAAGCAGUUGCCAAGUCCUGUCUAACCGCUGCAAGCCGUAGAUCAAUAGCUCUAAGUAGCUCCUUCCUGGAAAGACAGAAAAUAAAAAGAUUCAGCGUUACACAUUUCAAGAGUGCAUAAGAGAUGUAAAAUAAAGCAAAUUCGCACAGUUAACAGAACAAACAUUAAUAGAUUAAUUUGGCUAUGUAUUCAUAAUUUUUAUCAAAAGUAAAUAGCAAGAAAGGUUAGGACUUUACUUUGUCACAUCAGCUGCUGUUGUAGUUUCCGUGCCAUCUGAACGAAGAAAGGUUUAGCCAGAUUAUACCAAAGCAAGAGAAAGACUACUAACAUGUAAUAGAAUAUAUCUGAUAGACCUUUGUGGAUAAAAAUAGAACUACAGUGCCUUCAGAUUCUAAAUUUCACAAUGCCAUUCAUAACUCAAAAGGUGCCCUGUAGAUGCUUUUCUCAUAUUUGGCAGUUAGAUUCUUAAUUUCCAUAUUGUAAACACAGCCAAGUAUAACAGACUAAUCGAAAGAGGCACAAUGAUGGUCUAUAGAAAGAUACUUUUCUAGCGUCCAUUAAUGAGUUACCAGCAUCACAAUUCACAUCACAACUCUAAUCGUUAACCGCCAAUUUCUUAGGGACGGUACGUGUACCAGAAUAUACAAAUACAAACAAGUAAACAGUAUGCAUACCUUUUGAACCAGGUCGCUGAUCACCAGUCCCCUAAAGCAAGAUAUUAGCAAAAUCAAUCUCAAGUUAACUUAACACAUCAUUUGCUUUCUCGAAAUUAAAAGAGGUUCAAGUACCUCGCCAUAUAUUUUCCGGGCAGCCUCUAACUGAGACAUUUCCUCAUCCAAAGAGCUAACCAAUUCCAUAACCUCUGGGGUACUAACAAACCGUACAAACCUAUAAAACAUAGUAAGCAAACAAGGAAAAUUAGCAGGCAAUGAGUUCCACUCCACUAAAACUUGUACAUCAAACGGAAUCAAAACCUCUCGAGUGUCCCUUUAGUAAACCAAGUUCCAGCAUUCUCGCUGCUUUCAGCUUGAAGCCUUAUAGACUGAGCUUCCCUGGCGACCUGCUCUUCAGCGACUUUCAAAUGAGCAACAAAGGGUUUCACCAGUCCAGAAGCAAGCUUCUCAGUGUUCCCCGCAGUAGAGACAAACAACUCACAUCUGCCCAGUAAAAGAAAAGAAAAUAUCUUUGAAAAAUCCCAAAACAAUGAAAACGAAGAAGCCAUCUCCAAAUACUAGUUAGUACCUUGAGCGCUUUGGGGAGAGUUGGAAGACAGCAUAGUCAAGAGGUACAGCAGCUGGUCUCAUCUUCUCCCCCUUUCACAUACCCAACAAACAGAUAAAAAAGUAAAAGACAGCUGUCGAUUUUAAAGAGCCACAAUGCUAAAGAGGAACCAAUCUCAACUUAAAGACACACUACAACAAUAAUAGAAACCUCCCACAGUUGACAUCAAUCACAUUGUCAGAUCUGCUUCCGAUCAUGCAAAAUCCAAUCAAUAAUGGAAUCUAAUUCACAGUAAAAAUCCAGAAUUCGAAUUCGAAAUUCAAAGGCAAAAGUGGAACAAGAAAAAAAAAAAAAAAGAUCCCCACAUCGAAAAAGGGAAUGAGAAUAUUUGAAGUGAAGUCGUACUCGGAUCAGGCUAUAGUAGAGACGCGUACCUGUGGGUAGAAGGAAGGAAGGAAAUUCAAAAAUGAGAUCUUUGGGUCUCUUUCCGAUUCAAAUUCGAGGAGUCACUAUCAUUGACGAGUCUCUUUCUCUGCUUGUCUAUGUUAAGCGAAUCUUAUCUUCAAUACAAAGUUCAACGCUUUUGUUAUUCUUCGAUACAAAGUUCGGAGCUUUUUAAAACCCUAACAAUGGCGGCGAUUGUUUUGUUUUGUUUCAUCUCUCAGAAACUCUUUUGACUUUAACUUCUUACUCUCUUUUUUUAGUUGCUUCCGAGUGGUGGAUUUGAUGUAUCUCCCAUUGUCUCUCCUCCCGUCGUAUACUCUCUCUUUGUCAAAAUCUACUUUUUGAGAGAGAAAGUAGAUUCAAGAGAGAGAGUGUUUUUCAGACAGAGAAAAAUCACCAUUUUUGUUGACGACAAGUACCCGUUUACCGUGAGAAACAAAACAAAAUAAAAAGGUAAAAUUUGAAAAUUUAAAUAAAAAUUAAAAAUAAUAGUCGGCAGUAAAAUGCGAAAUCCCGAAAAUAGGGUUUGCCUAAUCUCAAACUUUUUCCAAAAAAAGAUUUUUUAGUAGGUUGACAUUCAUAGUACUCGACUGAAAAGUGUCAAUCUUAUAUAUUAAAAAUAAGUCACAACUUUAAAUUAUGUGUGAUUUUUCUUUUUUAAAAUGGACUUAUUAUUAAAAAGUCAUGUUACAUUUAAUAUAUAAUCUUAUCAUUUAAAUUUUGGGUCUAUCAGAAAUUUUUAUUGGGCUAUCAAUAAUUGGAUUUAAACAAUAGUUAAUCAAUUGGAUUUAUAGAUAGUAUAAAUUAAAUAGAUAUAAUUUAAUAUUGAAAUAUUAUACCUCUAUAUGCUAAAUAUUUAAAUAUUUAUCGAUCUUUAUGUUAACUUUUAAAAUUAUAAUUUUUUUUAAAUAACAAAAAUCAUAUUAUCUAACAAUGAUUAAUCUUUAAUACCUUAAACCAAUGAAAACAAAUUUUAAACUAUAUAGUUUAUUUUAAAAAUUAAACAAAAACUAAAAUAUUAAAUUAUCGCUGUGAAGUGGCAGCCUGUGGCUUACCUCUACGGACAGAACUGGAUUGAUCCCCCGGCACACGGAGCAUGUGUUCAGCAAAUAGCUUUUCAAGCUCGUUUGCUUUAACUUUCAACUCAUCAUUCAACUCUUGGCUUCCCUUAAACGCUCUAGCCCUUUGAACUUGCUCUGGUGGGGACACUUGGCUCAUAGUAUCAGUCUCGGAACCUUCACCCCUUCUACCUUGCGGUCUUUUCAUCUGUUCAGAACCUAAAAGACGAUGGUGCAAGAAAAAUAACCAGAAGAUUGCUAAAUUUUCCCAUUUUGUCCAAGUCAGGAUAUAAAGAAAAUGUACAAGUCUAGAAAAGAAUCUAGGCACGUUAUCACGAUUGAGAAUUAGUCGUUUACCUAUUCUCAGACUCUAACUGUUUAAUAAUAAAAAAGAAUACUUCAACAGUCAUGAAUCAUGAUCAUUUUCAAGCAUUAGAAAAACAAGGAAGAAACCAUAGACUUGUGUCUCAAUAUAAGAAAAUGCAUAUAAAGGAAAGACCAACACAUUUUUAACUUUACUGACCUCCAUAGACUUGUGUCUUUCUCUGGCGAUCCUCAACUGGUGGUGAUUGCCUAGCCAACGGUUCUUUCCUAGGAGACUCUGCAGUUCCUCCAUUGCUCCGAACACUUGUGAAAUUAGAUUCAGCACCACUUAACUGCUGUAACGUAGACAAAGGAUGACUCCGAGGAUCUCUAAACUGUAUUUGGUCCUGCUUAUUUGAUUCAGAGUCUCCCGUUUUGUUAUCAGAUUCAUCAUCAUCAUCUCUAUUUGCAUUCUCUGAGUAAUCAGAAGUCUCUCUGGUACUUUUUUCAUUGUAUGGAAACUUGGAACUUUUCUCCAAUAAACUAUCCUGUGAAUUUCCUUGAUGUCCCACUUGGCUACCCGUGCUCGAUGGCAUGUUCAAGUUUACCUCCUUGUCACCAAGAUUGUUGGAGCUACAUUCGUCUGCAGUCCUGUGAGAGCUCUCAACAUGACUCAAUCCGGUCUGCUUGUAGCCGACAGAUUGUUUUGAAGAUAUACCACUUCCAUCUUUGGACACUGAUGAAGCCGGGGGAGUGCACAAUGGACUAUCACCAGUACCAUCCUUCCUAUCAUUUCCCAAAUCAAUGCUCAUGUCACUAGCACCACUCCAUCUCCGCACAGAAGAUGAUAAAUCAGAAGAGAGCCUUUUCAGCUCAGUGGAUUUCACCACAGCUGUUUUCCCUCCGGAGCUUUCUUUCUGCUUGUUUUCAAAUAGGUUGAUCCUCUCCUGCACGCUGAGCCGUCUCGUGAGCUGCUUAGUCUGGCUUGCUAAUGGCUCAUUUUGCACAGGGAUUUUUUCCUCUUCUUCAUCCUUUUCAUCAUGACUACUUUGUGGCAUC